GUGCAAUACACUGUUGUAUUAACAACCAUCGGUGGAGGCAACACAGGGCUCAAACAAAAGGAAGCAAGGCUCAGGAUAAGCAUACGUCUUACUAGCCAGCCGAUUGCGAGACCACCGGUACGCGAUGGUGCUCUACGGGUCACAAAUCGGUGAUUUUCCACCGUAAAUGGAGUGCCCUGGCAGGGGACUACACGGAGAUUCGUCACAUCAAGGAUGUCCAUCAUAUGUCCUAGUUGGGAAUACGCCUGGUCCACUUCCGUUGUAAGUUGUGCACGACUUGCUUGCGGAGAAGUCAGUGAUCG
This 302-nucleotide long non-coding RNA is filed under the name Hordeum vulgare. RNAcentral's name for it is "long non-coding RNA (HVUL_LNC021736)". Lineage: Eukaryota; Viridiplantae; Streptophyta; Magnoliopsida; Poales; Poaceae. The record is from RNAcentral.